Molecule: unclassified non-coding RNA, 520 nt
Filed under: uncultured Scutellospora
Lineage: Eukaryota; Fungi; Glomeromycota; Glomeromycetes; Diversisporales; Gigasporaceae
Description: SSU rRNA
Rfam family: Eukaryotic small subunit ribosomal RNA
Source: RNAcentral
AGCAGCCGCGGUAAUUCCAGCUCCAAUAGCGUAUAUUAAAGUUGUUGCAGUUAAAAAGCUCGUAGUUGAAUUUCGGGGUUCCACCGUUGGUCGGGCUAUUGUCUGUACUGGCGUGUGGAAUUUCUACCUUCUGGGGAACUAUCAUGUUAUUAAUUUAGCGUGGUAGGAAACCAGGACCUUUACCUUGAAAAAAUUAGAGUGUUCAAAGCAGGCUUAUGUCUGAAUACAUUAGCAUGGAAUAAUAAAAUAGGACGGUGGUCCUGUUUUGUUGGUUUCUGAAUCACCGUAAUGAUUAAUAGGGAUAGUUGGGGGCAUUAGUAUUCAAUUGUCAGAGGUGAAAUUCUUGGAUUUAUUGAAGACUAACUACUGCGAAAGCAUUUGCCAAGGAUGUUUUCAUUAAUCAAGAACGAAAGUUAGGGGAUCGAAGACGAUCAGAUACCGUCGUAGUCUUAACCAUAAACUAUGCCGACUAGGGAUCGGACGAUGUUAACUUUUCUUGACUUCGUUCGGCGCCUUACGG